Molecule: long non-coding RNA, 3740 nt
Organism: Solea solea (common sole)
Lineage: Eukaryota; Metazoa; Chordata; Actinopteri; Pleuronectiformes; Soleidae
Exons: 5
Source: RefSeq, a predicted model, not a curated record
ACAAAAUGAUGAAAAAAGGGGAACACUUUGAAUGCACGCACCAACACAGUCACACACACACAAACCUGUUUUUACAUCUUAGAGAGGGCAUACCAUAGACAUCAUGCAUUCUCUAAAAUUAACCAUCACCACAAAGUGCCUAACCCUAAACCUUACCCUAAUCCUAAAAAUGUAACCUGAACCUAAACCCUGAAAGAGCCAUUUAAAAUGUCCCCACAAGGUCAAAAUGUCCUCACAGAGAUAAGUUUCUAUGUUUUUUGUGACCUCACAAAGACAGAAAUACACUCGCUCACUCACACACACACAUACACAGGUGGCAUUAUCCCUAACCUUUACCCUAACCACUUCCUCUGCCUCAAUAGGACCAGGUUUUGGUUUCUGUGAGGACUACUGGUCCUGUGUUUAUGCCAGAAAAGGUCCCAAACGAGUGCAUGUAGGAGAUUGUUGCACACUUAGGCCUCACCCUAGCCUUGGAUUAUUAAAUAUGACUGGUGUGUACAGCAGGUUACUGUCCAGGAGAGCUGAAAGGCCGUGCAAAGAGAGCAAGGGGAAAAAGUUUGCCUUUGAUCCCCAUCUCCUCAAACCUCUGGCCCCAUGGGUCACCAGCUGUCAGACAGCCAGAGGAGGGUGCCUCCUUUCCUCCUCUGUUCUUAUCCUCUCUUCUCUCACUUUUUGUCAUUUGGGAUACAAACCGUUUUGCACCCAGGAAUCAUCUGGGGACCCCCAGCUGCUGCCGAGGCUGGGGAGGCUUCAGCCCAGUGCCUCCCGGCUCCCAUCGACUGCAAGUCCCCUGGGAGGCAGCUGACUGGCACCCAGACUGCCAGCCAGAUGAUGGAUCCUACCAGGAGAAUCAGACGUGACAGGGGGAGGUGAGGCUGCUGCAGUGGCCACCACUGAACCUGAGGACGAGGGGCAGAUGCGGUCAGCUGCCUCAGUGUGUUCACAUUCUCCAUCUGGACCUGAAGUAUUCCGUUAGCUGCCUGCUGAAUGUUACAUUUUAUUUUGAAAGCUGACAAAAUAUCAGCAGUGUUUGACUUUUAAUGUUUGUCAUGUCGGCUGCUGGACCUUCCCAAAACUGUGACAGAUGCCAAAUGACACAUGUUGAGGUUGAGAAUAUCAAAUUGAGUUAAACAUAGAUCAUCAAUUUUUAGAUAUUUUAGAUAUAUUUUAAGUUAGCUCCUCAGUAACCUUUCACAUAAUUGAUUACCAUUAAGUGGUAACUGAAUUCCAUUAAACAAAAUCUGAACAUGUUCACUGUUAAACAAAAGCAGAAGGUAAAGAGAGCAUGUUUAAAACCUUUUUAUGAGCUCGGGAUAUUGUUUUGUCAUUUCUGGCAUGACCAGCUUAAUCUUGUGAUACCAGCUGGAUGAACGCGUGUAUCUUGCCCCGCGGCAUCCUGCUGUGCCAUUGCUUCAACCAGACACUGUGAUGGUAAGUGACUGCUGUAAUUGUUCUGCUCCCAGCUCUUAUACUUCAGCCAUCCAACUGGCUCCAUCCUCUUGGUUGUGCCACAUUGCCCUCUUGGGCCUUCUUGGCAUCAGCCCCCAGUUCUUUAGCUCAGAGAUCUGAUAUACAGUGACUCUACAGUUCAAUACCAUAUCAACACCAAGAAGAUUUAAAAGCAUACACAAUUAAAAAUAAAUAGGACUCUACACUUGCUGAUGUGUUUGAUGUUGUAAAUAGAUUUCUGCAUUGCCAAAUAUAAUUUAUUAUUACAAUAUACAAACACACGUACCUCUUGUGGUAUGUUUUGUGGUAUGCAGAUGAAGGUUUUUGUAGGCACUGAUAUAACUGAUGUAAAUAGAUUUGUGUUUAUGCUUCUCAAAGCUUUUGUUUCUGUCUGUUUCCAGAAAUAAUGUUCAUUUUAUUGCUAUUUUACCUCAAUAGAAUUUGUUUCAGUGACAGCUAUUCACAUUGCGGUCUACACUUUGUACUUUGGAUAUCGCGAAACCACACGGCCAUAAAAGAUGAAUUUGGGAAAAUGUGUGUCACGCGGCCAAAUGUGUUUUAUGAUUACUGUUGAGAUAUUAAAAAAUAAAAGGUUGAAAAACAGAUAAGUAAUGUUGACAGCCGUAUAUGUGUUAAUCAUUAUGGCAGCCGUUCUUCCAUCGUCAUCUCUCUGAGAGAUUAUGCAUGCACUCAAAUGUUCUCAUUGCCUCAUGUAGCCUUGCUGACUAUGCCAACAUAGAUACACACACACACACACAUGAAAACAACAGAGAAGAGGGGAGAAAAAGAUGAGGGGAGGGUUGCUGCUCACAGUACUGUACAUCAAAUAUUAAAUUGUUUACCAUGGUAAAUAGUCUCAUCUUAGCCCAGUCUGUUUGAAGUGACAGUCGUUGCUGUGCGUAGUGGGUAAAGUGGAUCAGCCCCUCGUCGUAUAUCGAGGGGCCGUUACUACUGUAACUAAGGGAAUCAUUUACCACUCGCACUGUUGAGUCUCCGCUUCACACACUUCUCGUUUGAAAGGCACCCACUCUGCAUUAGUCAGGACUGACGUUGAUAUCUUUGCUUUGGGGUGUAAGAACAUUGGAACCCUGUUGUGGUCUCUCCCUCUACGUUUAUGUAAUAACGUGAUACAGUGAAGAGGAGGAGGAGGAAAGAGGGAAAAAAAACACACAACAGUAAUAGUACAGUGUUCGGAAAAAAAAAAAAAAAGAUGCAGUUAACAAAUGCAUCUCCCUUUACCUACAGUAUGUGAGGCAUAGAUAUACACAAACACACACAAGUGCAUACAAUAAUUCAGACACACUCAAAAAGCAACCUUGCGGGUGUGUGAGGGUGUCUGGCUUUUAUCUUGCCUAACCACCAGUAGUCAAGCCAGGAACCUUGUGAAUAAUUCAACAUAUUUACCUGCCCCUCUGGUCUGGACGUAUAAUGUUUGUAUUGCAGUGCAAGUAAAUGAAUAAAUAAAUAAAUGAAGCACUAGGUGAACAUGUGAAUGCAUGAAUAACUAAAGGAGCAGCGACGUGGCCUGUGUCACAGCCAGAGGUAUGUUGCCAUCUUCUGGUUUUGGACUCAAACUUCAGGGGAAAAAGGAAAAUGUUUUUUUUUACCUGAGACCUGAAGCACUCCAUCUUUCAUAUUUGCAGAUUGACUUUAUCUCUACACUGGCGGAACUCUCUCAACUACAACGACUGCUAAAUUAUUUAUUUUAAGUGAAUUUUGAGCCUCUUGUUAGUACGUGUGUGGUUUUAUCCCCCUGAUAAUUAUGUUUAGAUGUUCUGCAUCAACAAAUCCUAAAUAAAUAUUUUCACGUCGAAUAUGCUAACACCAUUUUUGAUCAUUCAAAGUCCGCCUUUGAGGUGUCGUCACGAGUUGUUGCCAGAAUUUAGAUGCCGUUCUUGUUCAUCUCAUUUGCAUGUAUGAUUAUCCACAUAUGCCCUCCUGUUCCUCUACUGCUCCGAAUAUGAUCUUUGCUGUGGCAGGGUGUUAAUUGGCUUGGCCCUGCUGUGUGUAUGUGCACUGGUGUGUGUCUGUGUGCAUGUCUGCGCCGCCACACAAAUGUUUGCGUAUGUAUAUGUCAGCGUGGUGACAGCGUGAGCAGUGUUGGAGUCUCUCUCCGUGGCCCAGCACAUGUGGCUCUCCUCCAGUUUGUGUGGCUCUCUCCUCUGUUCUGAACAUGUGCUCUGUGCCUCCUCGUCCCUGUCCGGUCCUGCUCGGCUCUCUGAGGCCCUGGAUGCAGCAAACAGGGCCUUACCAACUAUUUGAAUGCUUCCAAAGACGUGCACACCUGCAAC